Molecule: ribosomal RNA, 301 nt
Filed under: uncultured bacterium
Lineage: Bacteria
Description: partial 16S ribosomal RNA
Rfam family: Bacterial small subunit ribosomal RNA
Source: RNAcentral
CAGUCGCCGCGGUAAUACGAAGGGGGCUAGCGUUGCUCGGAAUGACUGGGCGUAAAGGGCGCGUAGGCGGCGAUCAAAGUCAGGCGUGAAAUUCCUGGGCUCAACCUGGGGGCUGCGCUUGAUACUUGGUUGCUUGAGUGGGGAAGAGGGUCGUGGAAUUCCACGUGUAGCAGUGAAAUGCGUAGAGAUGUGGAGGAAUACCGAUGGCGAAGGCAGCCCCCUGGGCCAAUACUGACGCUCAUGCACGACAGCGUGGGGAGCAAACAGGAUUAGAUACCCGUGUAGUCCCUGUCUCUUAUAC